AGAACGAACGCUGGCGGCAUGCCUAACACAUGCAAGUCGAACGAGACCUUCGGGUCUAGUGGCGCACGGGUGCGUAACGCGUGGGAAUCUGCCCUUAGGUACGGAAUAACUCAGGGAAACUUGUGCUAAUACCGUAUGAUGUCGAGAGACCAAAGAUUUAUCGCCUAGGGAUGAGCCCGCGUAGGAUUAGCUAGUUGGUGGGGUAAAGGCCUACCAAGGCUACGAUCCUUAGCUGGUCUGAGAGGAUGAUCAGCCACACUGGGACUGAGACACGGCCCAGACUCCUACGGGAGGCAGCAGUGGGGAAUAUUGGACAAUGGGCGAAAGCCUGAUCCAGCAAUGCCGCGUGAGUGAAGAAGGCCUUCGGGUUGUAAAGCUCUUUUACCCGGGAGAUAAUGACUGUACCGGGAGAUAAGCUCCGGCUAACUCCGUGCCAGCAGCCGC
This 444-nucleotide ribosomal RNA is filed under the name uncultured bacterium. RNAcentral's name for it is "SSU rRNA". It matches the Rfam family "Bacterial small subunit ribosomal RNA", at positions 26 to 518 of the family's 1533-position model. The record is from RNAcentral.